Molecule: long non-coding RNA, 1511 nt
Organism: Gadus macrocephalus (Pacific cod)
Lineage: Eukaryota; Metazoa; Chordata; Actinopteri; Gadiformes; Gadidae
Exons: 7
Source: RefSeq, a predicted model, not a curated record
CAGAGCUGAUGACCAAAGAGGGGGGAAGUCUAAGGAUCGAGCUGAUAUUAUUACUGACAUCCUAACUGUAUUUUUUUUAAUUGGGUUUAGAUCUAACAUCACAUUUUGCUUGGUUCCGGGACACGCUGGGAUUGGGGGGAAUGAGCGGGUACCAGAUUGAAAAACAGAGUUUGACUAGAGAGGUAGAUGUUCAUAUAUCCUGGGGGAGAGGAGCUGAGAGAAAUAAUUAAAUAAGGCUUAAUGAUGGAAUGGCAGAGAGGGUGGCAAAAGAAAGAAGGUGUAGACACUAUUUCUCUUAACAAUCUCAAGUUAAAAAAGAUGUGCCUGCACUUUUCAGUCCUGUAGGGAUUCAGUUAAACUGUAGAUUAAGGCUGGGUCACUGUGGGCCAAAUCACUUUUUAUUCAUUGUAGGAAAAUAUGUGUCUGGUUUAUGUGAAUGUGGGAGUUCUGAGACAGUAAAACAUGUUUUUCUGGAGUGUAGAAAAUACAGGACAGAAAGACAUGCAUUCUUCGGUAGACUGUUGGGACUUGGAGUUCUCACAGUGUCCCGUUUGGACACUGUGAGAACCAUAAACUAAUCUCCAGGGCAGUUUUGCAGUUCCUGCACAGUACAGGACUGUUUGUAGAAAUCUAGUUCAUCAUCGGACCUGUGGAGGGCAGUAGUACGCUAGACAGCGUCCAAACUGCCGGAAUCUGACAACUAGAAGAAGAGCGGACGACCCUCCAGCUGCGUACACACGUGGUUAAAACAAGCAUACAAGUCCUACAAAAAGUAACCAGCUCCGAUAUGCUCACCCACUUUACGGGUCCUGGGGCCCUCCAGAAGCUGAAGCAGCCCCAGACGGCGAUAGGUGGGCAUCUUGGAAAAACGCAUGUCUCUCUACAAAGAUCGGCAGAAAGUGCCGUGAUGGUGGCUCUGGACGGGUCGAAAUGAGUGGAUGAAGCUUCAACUUCAGAACCAGGCAGAAACCCCAACUUGUCAAUGGUAUAACUCAGAAUUGAGCACGACCAUUUGGAGUGGAAAUGAGUGGUUCAAGUUAAGGCCCAGGCAGAAACGCCAAAUGGUCAAUGGUACAUCGCCGAAUUGAGCACUAUCCAAGGAACCAUUUGGAGUGGACGUCGGAGGUUUAGGUUCAGAAACGGACAGGAACCCCAACUUGUCAAUGGCACAACUCCGAAUUGAACACUAUUCAAGGAACCAUUUGUAGUGGACUUCAGUGCAAGAAAAGUCCAGUGCCGUGAAGCGGGAUGGUGUCUCGUGAGUUGCCAAAUGAGUGGCGGAUAAAGACCCUUAGAAACCAUCCAGCUUGGAGAUUACAUUUAAGCAUGCCGAUGUGUAACUCACCACUGAAGUCAGCAGUGAGUGACUAGAGCUCUGAGUACUGGAGAAUCCACAUGGGUUAUGGCUCGAGGAAACCCAUGGCUUUGAAUGUCGUUGGCUAAGCCUUUCCUUGUUUUGAUCUUGUCCAGCAAAGUUCGACUUAUUGGAUUAAAUGCAUUUCUAAAGACCA